Molecule: ribosomal RNA, 620 nt
Filed under: Brucella cytisi
Lineage: Bacteria; Pseudomonadati; Pseudomonadota; Alphaproteobacteria; Hyphomicrobiales; Brucellaceae
Description: bacterial SSU rRNA
Rfam family: Bacterial small subunit ribosomal RNA
Source: RNAcentral
CGCAAGGGGAGCGGCAGACGGGUGAGUAACGCGUGGGAACGUACCUUUUGCUACGGAAUAACUCAGGGAAACUUGUGCUAAUACCGUAUGUGCCCUUCGGGGGAAAGAUUUAUCGGCAAAGGAUCGGCCCGCGUUGGAUUAGCUAGUUGGUGAGGUAAAGGCUCACCAAGGCGACGAUCCAUAGCUGGUCUGAGAGGAUGAUCAGCCACACUGGGACUGAGACACGGCCCAGACUCCUACGGGAGGCAGCAGUGGGGAAUAUUGGACAAUGGGCGCAAGCCUGAUCCAGCCAUGCCGCGUGAGUGAUGAAGGCCCUAGGGUUGUAAAGCUCUUUCACCGGUGAAGAUAAUGACGGUAACCGGAGAAGAAGCCCCGGCUAACUUCGUGCCAGCAGCCGCGGUAAUACGAAGGGGGCUAGCGUUGUUCGGAUUUACUGGGCGUAAAGCGCACGUAGGCGGACUUUUAAGUCAGGGGUGAAAUCCCGGGGCUCAACCCCGGAACUGCCUUUGAUACUGGAAGUCUUGAGUAUGGUAGAGGUGAGUGGAAUUCCGAGUGUAGAGGUGAAAUUCGUAGAUAUUCGGAGGAACACCAGUGGCGAAGGCGGCUCACUGGACCAUUAC